UUCUGGAGCCAGCGCGGCGGCACCCGGGGCUUCGGAACACGUGGGGACACGCGCCGGAGACCGGAGAGUCGGCACGGGUUUUCAUCUGCCCACUCCUGUGAGCUUAUUGAGGACAAGAAUUGUGUCUCAUAUCCUGUCACUUUUCUCACUGAACAGAAGAUAAGACAAUAGUAAAAUCCCAUCCAGUCUUCAGAGGCCCCUGCUCCUCUGCUGUCCUGUAGCACAGCUGGCUCCUCUCCCAUCAACAGUGAGGAUCACUUGCAGAACAACUGCUUUAACUGGGAAAACGCAACCCAUUCCAAAAAUCCUAUAAGACAAUAUGCUGCUAGGGACAUUUUUUCUGUUGUCAAAUGGUUUGCAGAGGCAAGAGCUCUCUUCUGUGUGAGUCCAAACCUGAAGGUGCUGCACAGUAAGGAAACACAGUAAGCACCACUCAAAAACAACCCAGCCUCAUGGAGAUAAACCAGGAAGAAACCCCGAAGGCCAGACUCCUCUACCAGGAAGUCUGCUUGGCAGCUCAGCGACUCGAUUUCUUCCUUCAAAAAGGAAAUGCCCACAAAGAAGUGUUCAAGCCACACAUCCUGGCUCUCAGAGAGAUGGUUCAGCAAGCCUGCAUCAGACUCAUGUUCCUCCAUCCGGUGGUUUAUGGUAGGAAGGCUGAAGAGCUCUUAUGGAGGAAAAUAUACUCUGAUGUUGUCAUGCUGCUCAUGAAGACCAAUAAGAAACAAAUGGACACUUUCGAGCACUGGGGAGGGCCCCUACAGGCUCACCUGAAGGCUGGCCUCAGGUUCUAUGAGCAUCUCUUCCUGUUCCUUCAGGGUCACUAUGAGCUGAGGUUGCAGAGUUACAUAGACUGGCCUCACAGCGCUAUCCACUUGAUUGGCUGUAAGAAAGUGGGACCCACAUCAGCAGAAGAGGCUUCCUGGGCCCGCAUGGCCUGUCAUCGCUGCCUGCUCUACCUGGGGGACUUGUUUCGCUAUCAGCACGAAUUCCUAGACCUGGCCACCAAGAACUUGGCAGAGAGAUGCUAUUAUAGAGCCUUGUCAGUGGCCCCGCAUAUGGGAAUGCCCUUCAACCAACUGGGCGCUCUCGUGGGGAGUAAGUAUUAUGACCUCGAAGCCACCUACUUCUAUCAACGCUGUCUCCACUCUGAAGUGCCUUUUAAAGGAGCAGCUUGGAACCUCAAACGGCUCUAUGAUCACGCCGGAAAGAGGUACAGUUGUCUGAAGAGGUACCAGGGAAGGAAACUGACUCAUAGCCAGAGGCAGUGUUGGGACAACAGAAGGCUGCUGGUUAGCUUCCUCUACCUGCAGAGUCUCUUGCAGCCUAAGAGGAAAUUCAAAGCCGCAAGGCUGAUAGCCCUGUGCCAACUGGUUCUCGAAGACUUUCGUCUCUGUCUUUCCUAUCGGCCCUGUCAAUCAGGCCUAUGCCAGGCUUCCCCAGAAGAGAAACCUCCUAAAGGGUAUCUGUUUCUCCCGGACUUCCUCAUCUUCCACAUGGUGGCUCUUUGCCUCAUGAAUGUGCACAGCCUGAGGAAAUCAGGCUCAAAACAGCAAAAACCAGCUGUCAUCUUCACCUUGACUCUUUUCUCUCACCUAGUACAACAUGUGAACACACGGAUCCAGGCUGAGCUGCAGAGGAGGAAGCUGAAUCCAGAAGAGGCUUCUUCUGGCCAUGGAUGCUGGGAGAAAGAGCCUGGGAAGCAACAUCAAGAUUUUCUGUCUCCUGGGCUCCAGAACAGCAACUCUCAGAAAGGCCACAGGUGGUCUGGUAUUUCUAGGGAGAGCGAGGCUGGUUUUCAUUCUGAUUACGACUCAGAUGAGACAGAGGAAGAGGAAAACUCAUCCUUAAGUUCCCAGGUCCAAUCAGACACAAGCAGUGAAGCAUCCCUCUCAGACACAGCAGACGAAGAAGGAAGUGGCUCCUUGAGUUCAGAUGCAAUACAGAAAAGCGGAGGUACGUCCAAACCUAAAGCUGCUCAUUCCAGAAACAAACUGAAGUCGUACAUACCUCCCGACAGUCUCCUUGGUCUCUUGAAAACAACUCUAUCCUCUAGCCUGCCAGCACCUUUGAGCCAAAAACUCCAAGGAAAACAUGGCUUGCCCUUGGCUUCUGUCUUUAGUCAUAACGUUCUGACACCCCAGUCUGAGCCAAGCCCUGCUGUCAGCCUUUCUUUGUGCACGGAGGGUGAGAUGAACAGCUUUCCUGAUGCGGAGUUCUACAUGGAUUCCUCCUGGGAGCAGAAGCCCUCCACUUCCCAGAACAACAAUCUCCAGACAACUCAAUGGAAACUGGACAUUCUUUCUGCAGAGGGACUGCUGCCUACCAUCAAGGUGAUCCUGAGCUGGCUCCGCAGCAAUCACAGCAUCCUCUUGUCACAUUGGAGGAGUGUGUUUAGCUUGUGGGACCACCUCUGUGUGUUGCUGAACCUGUUGCCCUCAGUGGGAGACCUUCAGCAUCCAGGCCUUGGCCUGUCUCACCAUCUCCAGGAGUUGCUACAGAGCUGUCGACGGCCACACACUCCCAAGUACCUUCAGCUCCCCGAGGACAUUGCCAUGUUCCAGCAGCCUCCUUCUCAAGUGUCUCAGGAUAGGGUAGGCUUAGGGCAGGAUCCACCUCCACUCACUAACCAGGAGGAAGUUAUCGUCCGUAUCUGUUUCUUCAGAAAUUUUGGUCACUUUGCAACUAGACUCCCCGGACAGUUCUUGAGCUUUGAUUCCAAGCUGGGUGUCUUUGUGAGCAGUACCCUUGAAAGGUCAGAAGAUCCACCUCAGCAGCUUCCACGAACAGCUGCACGAAUCAGGUUUUCCAAAGACAUAGUCCAGCUUUGGCUUCAGAGGGAAGUGGCACUGCUAGAGAAGACCCUCCGAGGCCCCCAGACUCGGUCAGUGUUGACCCCUUACCUCUUCCCUGACCCCAGGGCCCUCUGUGAGCAUCUUUCAGUGAUACAGAAACUAGCCACUAGUGCUAAGUUUUUUCUUAUCAUACCCAAGGUUGUGGUUGACACAUUGUACAUCCUAAAAUGGGAGGAUCGCAGAGCCUUGGCUGCCAUCACUUUCCUAGAAGAUGAGUUAAAGAGAAGGAACCAGUACAUUCUCUGCCAGUCCUUUGUGUCCAAGAGGUUGGUGAGGCCCAGGAUGACUAGACAAGACUCUGAUGCCUGGGACCUCUACAAUAUUCUUGAAUUCUGCAAAAGCCUGCUGGACUCUUCCAGGCCAGGGAUAUUGGAUCCCAGCAGCAUGGUGACUAUCAUUACUGGUGUCUGUUUGGAUCAUCCUAGGAAUUUCUCAUACCCACUGCAGUUGGUACUGGGGAUGGCAACGGAAGCUGGUGUGGAAAUCAAGAACAUCCUGAACUUCCACAGAGAAUGGAAAGUGAUCAGUUGACAUGUUCACAUCUUCCUGCCCCUUGUCCUUCAGUGCUUAUUGCACAAAUUAAGUGUGUUUCUUUGUCAUAAGCACCUAAUGCUGAGAUGUUUUUUGAACCCUACAUUGUGGCUUCUGUAUCCAGGGCUCUGUUGGAAAUUCCCUCAUUACCAAGGUAAGUUCCAUGCAGAGCAGUUGAUGAAUUUAAAUUCUUUAUAUGAAUGGGGACAAAGUGCAAGAGUGAGUGCUUGAUUCUCAUUCAUGAGAGCCCAUGUUUAAUUCUCAGUAAAAAUUUUCCCAUCCAUUAGCCUGGACACUCUUCAAAGGAAGAAGAAUCAAGCUUGUUAUUUUUGUUCCUCUAAAAUUUCCCCCAGUUUCUCAUGCUCAUCAGUGUUUGUUUGAUAGAUGUUUCACACACAAUUCAACAUCUUGCCCCAAGAAACACAGCUUUAGAACUCAGAAAUCCACUGAAUUUCAAAAGAGGAAGCUUUUGAAUCAUUCAGAGAGUACAUGCAGUUUCAGAGAGUUCAGUCCAUGGUUGCUUUAUCCCUGGUUCUUGAACAGAAAAUCAUUGUAGUGGGAGUUUGUGACACCUCCCAGGGGAAUGGGAAGUCAUGACAUGAAUUUUCUGAAAAAGGCAGAGUUGUUCAAUGCAUGGAAAAUUGUCAUCAGAUAAAGCUUCUGCUUCAAAGGUCAUGGAAGGUGACCUUCCAUGAGACAACUGUUUUCUAAUGUUCUUCUUACUCUAGAGUGUAAGAAGAAAUCAUAUUUGUAUAGAUGAGUAAAGGGAAGUCAGUGCAAAAUCCUGCAGCUACUCAGUGACUUAACUCAUACUCCAUUCUAGAUAUAUAUAGCUGUCAAUCUGUCAUAAGCAGGUCUCAAUCAUGUGUCAGCACCAAAAGCUUAUGAUAGUCAACGAUGUCUUAUGAUGUCUCUGUGAAUGUCAGGGAUAGCUGAGAGAUCAACUUGAGGAGAACAGGGAACAGCUGCCUUUUUGCCCUAUCCUAUUGUUCUACCUUUAUCUACUGUCUCAGGGUAUGCAGAAUCAUUGGAACCAUGACAGUAGAUUUCAUCUGUGCCUUGAGAUGAUAUUAACCUAAGAAGAAAUUGUUUUAGGUGU
This is an RNA transcript of Peromyscus leucopus (white-footed mouse), 4485 nucleotides long. It is a transcript of the gene named SMG5 nonsense mediated mRNA decay factor, with no coding region annotated. The transcript is spliced from 6 exons. Lineage: Eukaryota; Metazoa; Chordata; Mammalia; Rodentia; Cricetidae. The record is from RefSeq and is a predicted model, not a curated record.